UACGUAGGGUGCAAGCGUUAAUCGGAAUUACUGGGCGUAAAGCGUGCGCAGGCGGUUGUGCAAGACAGAUGUGAAAUCCCCGGGCUCAACCUGGGAAUGGCAUUGGAAACUGGCUCGCUGGAGUGUGGCAGAGGGGGGUGGAAUUCCGCGUGUAGCAGUGAAAUGCGUAGAGAUGCGGAGGAACACCGAUGGCGAAGGCAGCCCCCCUGGGCUAACACUGACGCUCAGGCACGAAAGCGUGGGGAGCAAACAGG
RNAcentral lists this ribosomal RNA (254 nucleotides) under uncultured bacterium. RNAcentral describes it as "partial 16S ribosomal RNA". It matches the Rfam family "Bacterial small subunit ribosomal RNA", at positions 524 to 776 of the family's 1533-position model. The record is from RNAcentral.